RNAcentral lists this transfer RNA (71 nucleotides) under Loxodonta africana (African savanna elephant). RNAcentral describes it as "tRNA-Gly (TCC) (tRNA-Gly-TCC-32-1)". It matches the Rfam family "tRNA". Rfam says of the family: Transfer RNA (tRNA) molecules are approximately 80 nucleotides in length. Their secondary structure includes four short double-helical elements and three loops (D, anti-codon, and T loops). Lineage: Eukaryota; Metazoa; Chordata; Mammalia; Proboscidea; Elephantidae. The record is from Rfam by way of RNAcentral.
GCAUUGGUGGUUCAGUGGUAGAAUUCUCACCUUCCAUGUGGGAGACCUGGGUUCAAUUCCCAGUCAAUACA